Molecule: ribosomal RNA, 497 nt
Filed under: uncultured bacterium
Lineage: Bacteria
Description: partial 16S ribosomal RNA
Rfam family: Bacterial small subunit ribosomal RNA
Source: RNAcentral
GAUGAACGCUGGCGGCGUGCCUAAUACAUGCAAGUCGAGCGAACAGAUGAGGAGCUUGCUCCUCUGACGUUAGCGUCGGACGGGUGAGUAACACGUGGAUAACCUACCUAUAAGACUGGGAUAACUUCGGGAAACCGGAGCUAAUACCGGAUAAUAUAUUGAACCGCAUGGUUCAAUAGUGAAAGACGGUUUUGCUUUCACUUAUAGAUGGAUCCGCGCCGCAUUAGCUAGUUGGUAAGGUAACGGCUUACCAAGGCAACGAUGCGUAGCCGACCUGAGAGGGUGAUCGGCCACACUGGAACUGAGACACGGUCCAGACUCCUACGGGAGGCAGCAGUAGGGAAUCUUACGCAAUGGGCGAAAGCCUGACGGAGCAACGCCGCGUGAGUGAUGAAGGUCUUCGGAUCGUAAAACUCUGUUAUUAGGGAAGAACAAAUGUGUAAGUAACUAUGCACGUCUUGACGGUACCUAAUCAGAAAGCCACGGCUAACUACGUG